This 96-nucleotide microRNA precursor is filed under the name Orchesella cincta. RNAcentral describes it as "mir-210 microRNA precursor family". It matches the Rfam family "mir-210 microRNA precursor family". Lineage: Eukaryota; Metazoa; Arthropoda; Collembola; Entomobryomorpha; Orchesellidae. The record is from Rfam by way of RNAcentral.
UUGUUGUCUAUAAAAGCUACUGGACACUGCCCAAGAUUGAGAAAGGCACUCUUGUGCGUGUGACAGCGGCUAUUGUAGCACAACAAUAGUCAUCAA